AUGCCUACGGAGGUUGGAAGAUCACCCACGCGCACUUUUAAGUUCCUGGUGGAUAGAGCUUGGCAGAACAUCUUUGGCUGGUCGGACCGGCCCAUGUCCAGGGCAGGAACGGAGACUUUGCUUAAGUCAAAGACCCAAGCAAUUCCGACGUUCAUUUUGAGUUGUUUUCGUCUACCUGUGGCUACUUGUGAGAAGUUCAGGCAGAUCGUAUCGGAUCAGUGGUGGGGCCGAGAAGAUGGAAAGAAGAAGCUUCAUUGGCACUCCUGGGACUGGCUCACGACUCCUAAAUCUCUUGGAGGGAUGGGCUUCCGAGACAUGGCUUUAUUCAACCAGGCGAUGCUGGGGAAACAGGGCUGGCGUUUGCUGACUGAUCCGGGGUCGCUCUGUGCUCGGGUUCUGAAGGGAAGAUACUUCCCGUUCGGCGACUUUUGGAAUGCUACUGUACCGAGCUCGGCCUCGGCAACUUGGCGUGCCAUUCUGCACGGCCAGGAGCUUCUGAAGAAGGGUGUUCAGUGGGCUGUUGGUGAUGGUAGACAUAUUCAUAUCUUGAAGGACCACUGGAUCCCCUCCGUUCCUCCGGCCUUGCUUCAGCCUCUCUCACCAAUCCCUGCCAAUGCCAAGGUUCACUGCUUGUUGGAUGAAGAAAUUGGGUGCUGGAACGAGGAAUCCGUGCGGGCUUUUUUCAGUGAGGAAGUGGCUAACGCUAUCCUGCAGAUCCCAAUAAAUUUGGAUGGUGGAGCUGACUAUGUACGCUAG
RNAcentral lists this ribosomal RNA (756 nucleotides) under Triticum aestivum (bread wheat). RNAcentral describes it as "partial small subunit ribosomal RNA". Lineage: Eukaryota; Viridiplantae; Streptophyta; Magnoliopsida; Poales; Poaceae. The record is from RNAcentral.